RNAcentral lists this ribosomal RNA (300 nucleotides) under Triticum aestivum (bread wheat). RNAcentral describes it as "partial small subunit ribosomal RNA". Lineage: Eukaryota; Viridiplantae; Streptophyta; Magnoliopsida; Poales; Poaceae. The record is from RNAcentral.
AUGAAGAUGGCGGACGGUGAGGAGCUCGACGUGUACGGCGGGAGGCUCGCGGCGAUGGCGGCGAGGUAUGCCAACCUCGGGGAGACGCUGGGCGACACGGAGCUCGUCAAGAAGCUGCUGGUUACAGUGCCGGAUCAGCUCUUCCCCGUCGUCGCCGGCAUCGAGCAGUUCCACGACGUGACGACGAUGGCGUUCGACGAAGCGCUCGGGCGGCUGCGCGCGUUCGACGAGCGGGUUCGGCGCCGUGGACAAGACGGCGGCGAGCGUGGCGGCGAUCAGCUGCUGCUGACGAUGGCGUAG